GGGAAAUGUGUCCCCACGUCGUACAGCCCAUUAGCUGCAUGGGAACGGGUUAGGUCGCGCCCCCCAUAGGAGGACUAUAUGGGCGUAGGGGUAUUCAGCACACCCCUAGGCUAGAUACC
Cucurbita moschata (crookneck pumpkin) is the source of this 119-nucleotide long non-coding RNA. RefSeq lists it as uncharacterized. The transcript has 2 exons. The record is from RefSeq and is a predicted model, not a curated record. Lineage: Eukaryota; Viridiplantae; Streptophyta; Magnoliopsida; Cucurbitales; Cucurbitaceae.